This is a long non-coding RNA of Phyllostomus discolor (pale spear-nosed bat), 946 nucleotides long. RefSeq lists it as uncharacterized. Lineage: Eukaryota; Metazoa; Chordata; Mammalia; Chiroptera; Phyllostomidae. The record is from RefSeq and is a predicted model, not a curated record. The transcript has 2 exons.
CAUAAGUUUAUAUAUUUUAGAAAUUAACCCCUUAUCAUUGAUAACUACAUUCUCUCAUUGAAUUUAUGUUUUUUCUCAAAUUUAAUUUAAAAGUUAAGGUUCAAUGAAAUGGUUCUUCUUGACAGUGGAAGUCUCAGUGCCAUCUAAUCUAUUUUCAUUUAUUUGACCAAAAUUAAUUUAGAAUUAUACAUAUAUGAUGUAUUAUAUUCUUUGUUUUUAGUAGAUAAUACUAAAAUAAAAGACUGUAGAAGAUGAUUUUAGAUUCUUGCUUAUAGCUGUGUUGAAGUUAAGUGGUUUCUUUUUAACCUGCUUUUUUGGUUCUAUGUAUGGGGUGUUUUAAACCAUAUCACACAAUAAAAAAAAAUGUAAACGGAUCGAGUUUACCAAGUAAAUGCUAUUAAGUGGUACUGCAUAUUAUAGCAAGUGGAUUCUUUGGAUGGCUUUCAUUUUUAAAAUUAUUUGCCAACAAAACUUUGUGGCUGUAACCCAUAACAAACCCUUGAUCUUCAUGAAACCCUAACAAGGUAAGUCGCUAUUAUUCCCAAUUAUAGAAAGGAGAGGUGCAGAAUGUAAGUGCAGGAUUCAAAGCAAAUAAACUAUGUAGCUUGUUAUUUCAGUGAUGAUGAAUUCAAGUUAAAUAAUACACUGUAUUUUAAGAUGCCUAUAAAAAAUAAUAAGCCUGACUCCAUGACAGAAAGGUACAUUGUUACAGAGUUCGCCAAUAACUUGGCCUAGACCCAAAAUGUUAAAGAAUUGCUCAAUUCUGACCAAUAUUUUAUGGUCAGUUACCAAUAGUUCUCCUGUAGCCUUUUGUAAUAAUUCAACCAUUUAUUGGACAAGCAUUUAUUAGGUUCUACGGUAAGUAUGCCAGUCUCCGUGCAAGGCAGAGGAUACAGUGAUGACACAAAGACUGAUAUCCAACUGGAGAAGACAAAUUAUGAGAAAG